AGCAGCCGCGGUAAUUCCAGCUCCAAUAGCGUAUAUUAAAGUUGUUGCAGUUAAAAAGCUCGUAGUUGAAUUUCGGGAUUCUACCGUCGGUCGGGCUAACAAGUCUGUACUGGUGUGUAGAAUUUCUACCUUCUGGGGAACUAUCAUGUUAUUAAUUUAGCGUGGUGGGAAACCAGGACCUUUACCUUAGAAAAAAUUAGAGUGUUCAAAGCAGGCUUACGUCUGAAUACAUUAGCAUGGAAUAAUAGAAUA
Molecule: ribosomal RNA, 252 nt
Filed under: uncultured Scutellospora
Lineage: Eukaryota; Fungi; Glomeromycota; Glomeromycetes; Diversisporales; Gigasporaceae
Description: partial 18S ribosomal RNA
Rfam family: Eukaryotic small subunit ribosomal RNA
Source: RNAcentral